UGAGCAGGUUGUUCUAUCGCUGUCUGCCUUUGGGCAGAGAGAGGAAAGUCCGGGCAACAAAGAGCACCAUACUUCCUAACGGGAAGAUACCCGUGAGGGUAUUGUCAAUGAAACAGAAAAUAACCGUCAGCUUUUGCUGAUAAGGGUGAAAAGGCGAGGUAAGAGCUCACCGGUUCCGGUGGCGACAUUGGAAGCCGUUCAACGUAUGGGUUGUAAGACCAUGUAUACCGGCAAUUAAGGGCUGCUCGUCCAAUGCCGGGGGGUAGGUCGCUUGAGCCUGGCAGUGAUGCCAGGACUAGAUAAAUGAUAGAAAUCCAAUUUUGGACACAGAACCCGGCUUAUAAACCUGCUCUUUAA
This 357-nucleotide RNase P RNA is filed under the name Bacteroidota bacterium. RNAcentral's name for it is "RNase P RNA component class A". It matches the Rfam family "Bacterial RNase P class A". Rfam says of the family: Ribonuclease P (RNase P) is a ubiquitous endoribonuclease, found in archaea, bacteria and eukarya as well as chloroplasts and mitochondria. Its best characterised activity is the generation of mature 5'-ends of tRNAs by cleaving the 5'-leader elements of precursor-tRNAs. Lineage: Bacteria; Pseudomonadati; Bacteroidota. The record is from RNAcentral.